AGUUUUGCGCAGUGGCAGUAUCAUCACCAAUGAGGUUUAUCUGAGGCGUGAUUAUUGCUAAUUGAAAACUUUUCCCAGUGCCCCGCCAUGACGACUUGAAAUAUAGUCAGCAUUGGCAAUUUUUGACAAUCUCUAUGGAGA
Saimiri boliviensis boliviensis (Bolivian squirrel monkey) is the source of this 141-nucleotide small nuclear RNA. Its record names the gene U4. It matches the Rfam family "U4 spliceosomal RNA". From Rfam's summary of the family: U4 small nuclear RNA (U4 snRNA) is a component of the major U2-dependent spliceosome. The structure of U4 snRNA from yeast and human has been reported. The record is from Ensembl. Lineage: Eukaryota; Metazoa; Chordata; Mammalia; Primates; Cebidae.